AUUGAAUGCUGGCGGCAGGCCUAACACAUGCAAGUCGAGCGGAUGAAGGGAGCUUGCUCCUGGAUUCAGCGGCGGACGGGUGAGUAAUGCCUAGGAAUCUGCCUGGUAGUGGGGGAUAACGUCCGGAAACGGGCGCUAAUACCGCAUACGUCCUGAGGGAGAAAGUGGGGGAUCUUCGGACCUCACGCUAUCAGAUGAGCCUAGGUCGGAUUAGCUAGUUGGUGGGGUAAAGGCCUACCAAGGCGACGAUCCGUAACUGGUCUGAGAGGAUGAUCAGUCACACUGGAACUGAGACACGGUCCAGACUCCUACGGGAGGCAGCAGUGGGGAAUAUUGGACAAUGGGCGAAAGCCUGAUCCAGCCAUGCCGCGUGUGUGAAGAAGGUCUUCGGAUUGUAAAGCACUUUAAGUUGGGAGGAAGGGCAAUAAGUUAAUACCUUGCUGUUUUGACGUUACCAACAGAAUAAGCACCGGCUAACUUCGUG
Molecule: ribosomal RNA, 484 nt
Filed under: uncultured bacterium
Lineage: Bacteria
Description: partial 16S ribosomal RNA
Rfam family: Bacterial small subunit ribosomal RNA
Source: RNAcentral